Non-coding RNA from Arachis ipaensis, 1031 nucleotides. The record is from RefSeq and is a predicted model, not a curated record. Lineage: Eukaryota; Viridiplantae; Streptophyta; Magnoliopsida; Fabales; Fabaceae.
AUAGUAAAGAGACAAAGGUAAUAUAUUUUUAUUUCAUAACAGAAAAAGUUUAUUUAUGUUACAUUGAGUUAGUCAGAACUAGUGUCUAGUAACUCUUGCUUUUGAUGGCAUGAUAGGAGAAGUGUAAGAAAAAUGUUGAGAAUCAAUCAAAGCAGCUUUACACCCACAUUGGCGGAUCAAAAGCUUGACAAGGCUUGGAGAAGAAGAGGUCAUUUAUUUUUGAGAAUGUUUUUGAACCAUCUCUCAGUCUACAUAUUCAUUUUGUCAUCAUUAUUGUUACAGUCGAAAUGACAAAGGAUGAGAAUUGGUAGAGGAGAGUUGUAUCUCUUAACGCACAAAAGACCUAAUGGCUCCUAUAUCCAUGACGUAGCUUAGACUAUUGGUGAAAGAAUUGAGGCUAUUGAGCAACGUGAUGAAUCCUCUAAACUGUUGUCUUAGAAUGAUUCGCUUGCUCAAGCUCUCGGAAAGGAAUACUCGGGUAGAGUGCGUGGCAUAGGUUUGGGGCCAACUUCUAGCCAAGUCUUUGGUAUGAAUUCCCAUCAGCCGAGCAAUGGAGUUCAAAGGGAGGAGACUAAAAGGGUGCUGCUUUAACUACAAGCAGAGUUGGUAGCCGAGAAAUUAAAAAGGAAGGCAGUGGAGGAAGAAGUAGCAGCCGAGAAGACAAAAAGGCAAGUAGUGAAAGAUGAAGUAGCAGCUGAGAAGACAAAAAGGCAGGCAGUAGAGGAUGAGGUAGCAGCCGAGAAGACAAAAAGACAAGUAAUGGAGGAUGAAGUAGCAGCCGAGAAGAUAAGGAUGUAGGCAAUGGAGAGUGUUUUGAUAUGUCUACUUCAAGGGCAAGGUGGAAAGCUGCCAUCAGAUGUCGCCGCAUGGAUGAAUUCGUUGGAGGGAUAGAUUAGAAAGUAGAUCUUAGGAUUGUUCGAGAUUUUUUUUUAAAUAUACACUUUUUUUGUGUUGACUAUGCAACUCUUAGUAAGGAGUACACUUUAUUAAUAUUUGGAUAAUUAUAUGAAUUUUAUUAAUAGUUUUGCUAA